This 614-nucleotide long non-coding RNA is filed under the name Pogona vitticeps (central bearded dragon). RNAcentral describes it as "lncRNA (ENSPVIG00000004220.1)". The record is from RNAcentral. Lineage: Eukaryota; Metazoa; Chordata; Lepidosauria; Squamata; Agamidae.
CCAGGAUUUCUGGGAGUUGAAGUCCAAGAACUUUUGGAGGCCCAAGGUUGGGGGGAAAAUCACUGUUAUAAAGGGUUAAACAACAAGAGAUGGAUUCCUAGAAAGGAACUUAGAUUAGAAAUUCUGGUGGUUUGAACAGAGAGAGAAGAUUCCUAGAGAGUGAUCCUCCGAGACAAGAAUAGAGAUCAGAGAGACACGGAUUCCUAGAGGGAAAACACGCCAGACAAGAGAGAGAGUCUGGCUUUUUAGCGAAUGAAGAGAGGCUGGAAAGAUGGUUGGAAACAUGAUCCUUGAAGAAGCCAAAAAGCGAUGGCUGUUUUAAGGGCGGGUUUCAGCUUCCUUUUCCUCUGCCCACUGGGAAUUGCAUGGAGGAAUUGAUUUUCCUUUGGAUGUUCUUUGCCUUAAGAGAGAGCCUGGCAGAAAAAAGAAAGCCAUUUUUGAUCACGUCGGAGGCAGGUUGUAUAAAGAAUUGGAGAACAGAGAAGAGGAGCUGACCAACCUAGAAGUUAGAACUUCUCAACCCCCUCAGGCCGGUUCUGAAUGACUCUGGGAUAAAAAUGGGGAGACCCCCUUCAAUUUAGACGUCCAGCGCUAAAGCCACAGCAACAAGCAAA